GGUGCCUUCGGGAACUCUGACACAGGUGCUGCAUGGCUGUCGUCAGCGUCGUGUCGUGAGAUGUUCGGGUUAAGUCCCGUAACGAGCGCAACCCUUGUCCUAGUUACCAGCACGUUAUGGUGGGCACUCUAAGGAGACUGCCGGUGACAAACCGGAGGAAGGUGGGGAUGACGUCAAGUCAUCCAUGGCCCUUACGGCCUGGGCUACACACGUGCUACAAUGGUCGGUACAAAGGGUUGCCAAGCCGCGAGGUGGAGCUAAUCCCAUAAAACCGAUCGUAGUCCGGAUCGCAGUCUGCAACUCGACUGCGUGAAGUCGGAAUCGCUAGUAAUCGUGAAUCAGAAUGUCACGGUGAAUACGUUCCCGGGCCUU
Molecule: ribosomal RNA, 372 nt
Filed under: uncultured Pseudomonas sp.
Lineage: Bacteria; Pseudomonadati; Pseudomonadota; Gammaproteobacteria; Pseudomonadales; Pseudomonadaceae
Description: bacterial SSU rRNA
Rfam family: Bacterial small subunit ribosomal RNA
Source: RNAcentral